This 402-nucleotide ribosomal RNA is filed under the name Verrucomicrobiota bacterium. Its description in RNAcentral is "Verrucomicrobia bacterium partial 16S ribosomal RNA". It matches the Rfam family "Bacterial small subunit ribosomal RNA", at positions 355 to 776 of the family's 1533-position model. The record is from RNAcentral. Lineage: Bacteria; Pseudomonadati; Verrucomicrobiota.
UGGGGAAUUUUGCACAAUGGGGGAAACCCUGAUGCAGCGACGCCGCGUGAUUUAGAAGGCCUUCGGGUUGUAAAAAUCUUUUGUAUGGGAAGAAAAUGACAGUACCAUACGAAUAAGGACCGGCUAAUUACGUGCCAGCAGCCGCGGUAAUACGUAAGGUCCGAGCGUUGUCCGGAAUCAUUGGGCGUAAAGGGUACGUAGGCGGAUAAGCAAGUUAGAAGUGAAAUCCUAUAGCUCAACUAUAGUAAGCUUUUAAAACUGCUCAUCUUGAGGUAUGGAAGGGAAAGUGGAAUUCCUAGUGUAGCGGUGAAAUGCGUAGAUAUAUGGAGGAACACCGGUGGCGAAAGCGGCUCUCUGGUCUGUAACUGACGCUGAGGCUCGAAAGCGUGGGGAGCGAACAGG